CUAGUUUUGUUACGAAGAAAACAGAAAGCAAGCAACUUUCAUCUAGAGUUUCACUUUGAGCAAGAAUAGUAAUAAAUCGUGUAAUGCAUGUGCAAAGCACUAGGAGGCAACAAUCAUGGAACAAGGUACAGUAAAAUGGUUUAACGCAGACAAAGGUUUUGGAUUUAUUGAGCGUGAAGGUAACGAAGACGUAUUCGUACACUUCUCUGCAAUCCAAACUGACGGAUUCAAAACUUUAGAUGAAGGUCAAAAAGUUAGCUUUGAAAUCACUCAAGGUGACCGUGGACCUCAAGCUGCAAACGUUUCAAAAGAAGGCUAAUAACCGAUUAAAACAGACUCUUUGAGUCUGUUUUUUU
RNAcentral lists this non-coding RNA (356 nucleotides) under Geomicrobium sp. JCM 19038. RNAcentral's name for it is "cspA thermoregulator". It matches the Rfam family "cspA thermoregulator", at positions 87 to 428 of the family's 428-position model. The record is from Rfam by way of RNAcentral. Lineage: Bacteria; Bacillati; Bacillota; Bacilli; Caryophanales.